Priapulus caudatus is the source of this 969-nucleotide long non-coding RNA. RefSeq lists it as uncharacterized. The transcript has 3 exons. NCBI's taxonomy places the organism in Eukaryota, Metazoa, Priapulida, Priapulimorpha, Priapulimorphida, Priapulidae. The record is from RefSeq and is a predicted model, not a curated record.
AAGAACAUGGCCAUAAUUUACGUGCCUGUCAACGAAUGCGGUCUCUGUAACUUCGACUAUUAGUUCUAAUUAUAUUAUCCACAUGCAUGCGCCCCAUACUACUGUUGUAUUGUACAUUGUGCGUUGUAAUUAACCAGUAUAGCGCUUCUAGUCAGGCGAGACAGUGGGACUAAUUGUCCUGUUCGUUGUUGUUUUUGUAAUGACACGGGACGUAGGGCGCGAUAUAUAUGCGGUUUAACGAAAAACCGGUCGGAUUCAAAUGUCGUCGAGCUGUUUUAAGAAGCGACUCGCGCUCGGACGGACAGAACUAGAUAGAGAGUUAGAGAGAACCUACCCAGGAGACGUAGAGGGAGUUAUCACGUGAGUCUUAUACGAUGUAGAGAGCCAGAGAGGAGUGUCGCCAGGCGGAUUCCAAUAUGGACAAAACUUCGGCUGUCGUAUUUAUGAUGUGGUCUGUCAAGCGAACAACUGGACAAGCAUGAAACCUGGACACAUCCUGACCGCUCUCCUGAUAUUCACAUGCAUUGCGCUGUCUUUGCAAUUCGGUGGCCACUCUCACGUCUGCGUCCCGGUCACAAACCACAACAGUGGCAAGAUAGGAGCGUGGUGCCGUGCCUCCUGCCACUGUCACAACUGCGAGUGUGGCUAUCCGAUAAGAUACAAAUGGUUCAAGUUUCUCUGCCUCAGUCCGACGCCUAUACAAAGCCAUACGCCGACACACAAAGACGCACCACUUGGCUCCUCGGUUGGAACGUUGUCCUAUGGCUAUUACUCCGGAGACAAGAUUGAUAAGUGCACGAAAAUAUGUGGUUGCGCGUACUGUGAUUGUCUGUAUACUGUGCCUACCAAGAACUAUGGGAAUACCCAUGACAAUGAGAAUGUUGAUCCCGUGAACAGGCUUUCCAGCAGUCCUCGACAAAAUUUUAGGGCUAAUUUUAGGGAGAAAUUAAGGUUUUUUUAGGGCUAUUU